This 1110-nucleotide long non-coding RNA is filed under the name Junco hyemalis (dark-eyed junco). Its description in RNAcentral is "lncRNA (ENSJHYG00000008662.1)". Lineage: Eukaryota; Metazoa; Chordata; Aves; Passeriformes; Passerellidae. The record is from RNAcentral.
AUGAAGAAGAGGAGGAGGCCGAGGCCGAGGGCCACCAGGUGCCACCGGCGGUGUCUCCUGCGCUGGCGCCGCGUCACCGUGCGCGUGGUGCGGGUGAAGGCCUCGCUCUGGGGGGACAGGGACAGUGCCAGGGGCUGCUCUGGGGACAGAGGCACAUAUGGGGACAAACAGACUCCUCCCAGCCCCCAGAGUCUCUCCUCCCCAGGCUGGGUGUCCCCACAAUGUCCCCAGCCCUGUGCACCCACAGUGUCCCCAAGCUUUGUGUGUCCCCCAGCUCUGUGUGUCCCUACAGUGUCCCCAAGCCCUGGGUGUCCCCCAGCUCUGUGUGUCCCCUCCCCAUGUCACACCGCCUGUCGCAGGUGCUGUGCCCGCCUCUGCCCGGCUCCAGGUGUCCCCGCAGUGCCACCCCCCUGUCCCCGGCUGUCCCCACAGUGUCCCACCGCCUGUCGCAGGUCCUGGGCCCGGCUCUGCAGCUGCUCCAGGUGUCCCUCCCGCUCCAGCGCCUUGGCCACGUUCUGUCGCAUCAGCUCCGCCACCUCCUCGGCCUCGCGCUGGCACCGCUCCAGCCCCGCCUGGGGACACGGGGACACCGUGGGGACACGGGGGGACACGGGGAGAGCACCGGGGACGUGGGCGCCAAGGGGACACGGGGACAGGCAGGGACAAUGGCACCGCGAGGGGGACACGCACGGAGCUCGGGGACAGGAAACCGUGGGGACGGGGACACCGGAGCACGGGGACUGGGGAGGGACACGGGGACACCGGGACCGCGGGGGACACGGAAUGUCCCGCGCGGGCCACCUCCCACCGCCCCGGGGACCGCGGCAGGGGGAGCCCGGGACAGGCACCGGCACCAGCACCGGCACCGGGGGAUCCCGAGCCCGGCGGCUCCCGGGGCCCCGAGCCCGCCCUGCCCCGAGCAAAGCGAAAGCGAAAGCGGCGGCCGGGACUCACCAUGGUCCCGGUUCCGCGGGCCGGGCUCGGUGCCGGUACCGGUGCGCCCGUUCCUGUACCCGUCCGGCCUCGGGCCACAGCGGCCGCCCCCGCCGGGAGGGACCGGGACCGCCCCCCCGCCACCCUCGAGUGGCCGCAGAGCCGGACAGCGCGGCC